Molecule: ribosomal RNA, 3405 nt
Filed under: Triticum aestivum (bread wheat)
Lineage: Eukaryota; Viridiplantae; Streptophyta; Magnoliopsida; Poales; Poaceae
Description: partial small subunit ribosomal RNA
Source: RNAcentral
AUGGCGAGGCCGGCGAGGCGACGCGUCGUGGAGGAGGAGGAGGAGGAGGAGGAGGAGGAGGAGUCCUCCGGCGAGGAGCAGCAGGACCAGUCCGACGCCGGCGGCUCCGGAUCCGGCGAGGAGGAGGGGGGAGGCGGCGAGGCGGAGGAGGAGGUGGACGAGGACGAGAUCGAGGCCGUCACCACCGGCGCGGGCGCCGACGACGAGGAAGAGGAGGAGGACGGCGGCGAAGAGGACGAGGAGGAGGAGCCGGAGUCCGACGACGACGACGACGAGGCCGAAGACCCUGCUGGAAUUCCAGAGGUAGGGAAGCAGGAACGAGCCAGGCUCAAACAACUUCAGAAACUGAAGAAGCAGAAGAUCCAGGAGAUAUUACAGACCCAGAAUGCUGCCAUUGAUGCUGACAUGAACAAGAAAGGGAAAGGGCGACUGAAGUACCUACUGCAGCAGACAGAAGUAUUUGCCCACUUUGCAGAAGGAAGCCAGGCUAAAGAGAAGAAGCCACGUGGAAGGGGACGCCCUUCCUCAAAGAGGAGGGCAGAAGAGGAGGAUGAUGAAGAGUACCUCGAAGAGGAGGAAGAUGCACUUGCUAGUUCAGUCGGAACACACUUGCUUGUGCAGCCAUCAUGCAUAAAUGGACAAAUGCGAGAUUAUCAACUAGCUGGGCUUAAUUGGCUAAUACGGCUGUAUGAUAACGGCAUUAAUGGAAUAUUGGCUGAUGAGAUGGGUCUUGGGAAAACUCUUCAAACUAUUUCACUGAUGGGCUAUCUGCAUGAAUUCAGAGGAAUAACUGGUCCUCACAUGGUUGUUGCGCCAAAGUCUACUCUUGGUAACUGGAUGAACGAAAUUGCCCGUUUUUGUCCCAUUCUGCGUGCUGUGAAAUUCUUGGGAAAUCCAGAAGAGAGGAAUCAUAUAAGGGAGAAAUUGCUACAGCCAGGAAAAUUCGAUGUGUGUGUGACCAGUUUUGAAAUGGCAAUCAAAGAAAAAAAUGCAUUGAAGCGUUUCAGUUGGCGCUACAUUAUUAUUGAUGAAGCUCAUCGGAUAAAAAAUGAAAACUCUCUUCUGUCUAAGACGAUGAGGCUUUUUAGCACUAACUAUCGUCUACUCAUCACAGGCACUCCACUCCAGAACAAUCUCCACGAGCUUUGGUCUCUACUCAAUUUCUUGCUGCCUGAGAUAUUUAGUUCUGCAGAGACCUUUGAUGAGUGGUUCCAAAUUACUGGUGAAACUGAUCAACAGGAGGUUGUUCAGCAGCUUCAUAAGGUUCUUCGCCCAUUUCUUCUCCGGAGGCUUAAAUCUGAUGUCGAAAAGGGUUUACCUCCAAAGAAAGAAAUUAUCCUUAAAGUUGGGAUGUCUCAGAUGCAAAAGCAGUACUAUCGAGGUCUGCUUCAGAAAGAUUUGGAGGUUAUUAAUGCUGGUGGUGAGCGUAAAAGGUUGCUUAACAUAGCUAUGCAGUUACGAAAGUGCUGCAACCAUCCAUAUUUAUUCCAAGGGGCAGAACCGGGCCCACCUUACACAACUGGUGACCAUCUUAUUGAGACCGCAGGGAAAAUGGUUCUGUUAGAUAAAUUGCUGCCCAAAUUAAAGGACCGUGACUCCAGAGUGCUUAUUUUCUCACAGAUGACCAGGCUUUUGGAUAUCUUGGAAGAUUAUCUUAUGUACAGAGGGUAUCAAUAUUGCCGAAUAGAUGGAAGUACAGGUGGAGAAGAUCGUGAUGCAUCCAUUGAUGCAUUUAACAAACCAGGAAGUGAGAAGUUUGUUUUCUUGCUUUCAACCAGGGCUGGUGGACUUGGUAUCAACCUUGCCACUGCUGAUGUUGUGAUUCUUUAUGAUAGUGAUUGGAAUCCACAAGCUGAUCUUCAAGCUCAAGACCGCGCGCAUAGGAUAGGUCAAAAGAAAGAAGUUCAAGUUUUCCGAUUUUGCACCGAGUAUACCAUUGAGGAAAAAGUGAUUGAGAGAGCGUACAAGAAGCUUGCAUUGGAUGCUUUGGUUAUUCAACAAGGACGAUUGUCAGGGCAGAAAACUGUCAAUAAGGAUGACUUAUUGCAAAUGGUUAGAUAUGGUGCGGAAAUGGUGUUCAGUUCCAAGGAUAGCACAAUAACAGAUGAGGAUGUUGACAGAAUUAUAGCUAAAGGAGAAGAGACAAAAGCAGCGCUGGAUGCAAAGAUGAAAAAAUUCACAGAGGAUGCCAUUAAGUUUAAAAUGGAUGACACUGCUGAAUUGUAUGAUUUUGAUGGUGACAAGGAGGAAAACGAGGCUGAUUUUAAGAAAAUUGUUGCUGAGAAUUUGGUGGUCGAGCUACCUAGGAGAGAAAGGAUAAGGAAUUACAAUGAGUCUGAAUACUUCAAGCAAGCACUUCGCCAAGCAGCACCAGCUAAACCCAAGGAACUACGGAUUCCAAAAAUGCCAACUUUGCAUGAUUUCCAGUUCUUCAACAGUCAAAGGCUAAAUGAGUUGUAUGAAAAGGAAGUCCGACACCUCGUGCAAACCAACCAGAAGAAAGAUACCAUUGAUGGUGAAGAUGAAGGUACUGAUCAGGUGGAGCCUUUUACUGCAGAGGAGCUGGAGGAGAAGCAGCGGUUAUUGGAAGCGGGUUUUCCAACAUGGACUAAGAGAGACUUCAACACAUUUAUUCGUGCUUGUGAGAAAUAUGGUCGUAAUGACAUAAAGGGUAUAUCCUCUGAAAUGGAAGGGAAAACAGAAGAAGAGGUUCAACGAUAUGCUGAAGUUUUCAAGGAGAGAUACAAGGAACUGAGUGAUUAUGAUAGAAUUAUCAAAAACAUCGAAAGGGGUGAGGCAAGGAUAACUCGCAAGGAUGAGAUUAUGACAGCCAUUGGGAAGAAGUUGGACCGCUAUAAGAACCCAUGGUUAGAGCUGAAAGUUCAGUAUGGCACAAACAAAGGGAAGUUCUAUAACGAGGAAUGCGACCGUUUUAUGCUAUGCAUGGCGCACAAGCUUGGUUACGGGAAGUGGGAUGAACUUAGAUCUGCCUUCCGCAAGUCACCCUUGUUCCGAUUCGACUGGUUUGUGAAGGCAAGAAGUGCCCAAGAGCUGGCUAGGCGGUGCGACACGCUUGUCCGUCUAGUUGAGAAAGAGAAUCAAGAACACGAUGAGCGAGAAAGGCAGGCACGGAAGGAGAAAAGGCUUGCUAAGAAGAUGACACCAACGAAGCAAAAGAUGACACCAACAAAGCAGAAGAUGACGCCAACAAAGCAAGCUGCAUCAAGGGUUCCAGACGGCGAGACGGCUCCAGCGAAUCCAUCCAAGAAGAAUAAGACACCAACAAAGCAGAAAAUGACACCUACAAAGCGGGCUGGUGAGACGGCUCCAGCGCCCUCAUCCAAGAAGCGGCGGCAGUCCCUUAUGGACGAUUUCCUGGGCUCGGGAAAGAAGGGGAAGGUGUAA